GCUAGAGUAGAACAUUUGUGCUGGCCAGAUUCAAGCCCACGAAGCCUGCUUCUAGAUCUGUGCUCUUAGCCACCUUACCACCGAAGAGAAUUCCAGACAAGUUUCUCAGAGAGGGCUCCUUGGAAAGACAUCUGGAGGGGAUUCCAAGUAGCAAAAAAGGACCUGGACUUGGAGACAAGCCCCACAGAAAGGACGGGAAGGCAGGGAGUCUUCAGUGGAACAGCAGACUCUACUGCUGCCCCUGGGAUCUGGUUCUCUUCUGCUUCUGGACACAGGAAGGAUGGAGGUUGCUACCAGGCCAAUGGAACGUCUUUGUGCUAGAGUUGCC
Molecule: long non-coding RNA, 328 nt
Filed under: Mustela putorius furo (domestic ferret)
Lineage: Eukaryota; Metazoa; Chordata; Mammalia; Carnivora; Mustelidae
Description: lncRNA (ENSMPUG00000030434.1)
Source: RNAcentral